RNAcentral lists this ribosomal RNA (253 nucleotides) under uncultured bacterium. RNAcentral's name for it is "partial 16S ribosomal RNA". It matches the Rfam family "Bacterial small subunit ribosomal RNA", at positions 524 to 776 of the family's 1533-position model. The record is from RNAcentral.
UACGAAGGGGGCUAGCGUUGCUCGGAAUCACUGGGCGUAAAGGGUGCGUAGGCGGGGCUUUAAGUCAGGGGUGAAAUCCUGGAGCUCAACUCCAGAACUGCCUUUGAUACUGAGGAUCUUGAGUUCGGGAGAGGUGAGUGGAGCUGCGAGUGUAGAGGUGAAAUUCGUAGAUAUUCGCAAGAACCCCAGUGGCGAAGGCGGCUCACUGGCCCGAUACUGACGCUGAGGCACGAAAGCGUGGGGAGCAAACAGG